RNAcentral lists this ribosomal RNA (468 nucleotides) under uncultured bacterium. RNAcentral describes it as "partial 16S ribosomal RNA". It matches the Rfam family "Bacterial small subunit ribosomal RNA", at positions 28 to 507 of the family's 1533-position model. The record is from RNAcentral.
GACGAACGCUGGCGGCGUGCUUAACACAUGCAAGUCGAACGGAAAGGCCCUGCUUUUGUGGGGUGCUCGAGAGGCGAACGGGUGAGUAACACGUGAGUAACCUGCCCUUGACUUUGGGAUAACUUUAGGAAACUGGGGCUAAUACCGGAUAGGAGCUCCUGCUGCAUGGUGGGGGUUGGAAAGUUUCGGCGGUUGGGGAUGGACUCGCGGCUUAUCAGCUUGUUGGUGGGGUAGUGGCUUACCAAGGCUUUGACGGGUAGCCGGCCUGAGAGGGUGACCGGCCACAUUGGGACUGAGAUACGGACCAGAAUCCUACGGGAGGCAGCAGUGGGAAAUAUUGCACAGUGGGCGGAAGCCUGAUGCAGCAACGCCGCGUGCGUGAUGACGGCCUUCGGGUUGUAAACCGCUUUCGCCUGUGACGAAGCGUGAGUGACGGUAAUGGGUAAAGAAGCACCGGCUAACUACGUG